GCAGAGAACAAAGAUUGGUGGCUUCCUCCUGAGCACACUGGGAUGUGGCAUUACAUCGGGGCUGCUGAGUGCCCUUACCUUCAGCUGCCCAGAUGCAGAGGCAGGUAUUUGGCUAGAAGUUAUCACUGAUACGUUUCCAGAACACAUGGAGGCCAAGGCAGACAAAAGUAAAGAUGGAAACCAGACCAGUAAAUAAGUCCUUUGAUGAACUUCUGAGUCUCUACAGAUGAAGGCAAAGCUCCCUCACAGUUGCAGGCAACGUCUCAUCUUUUGUCACUUCUGGCAUGACACUGCACAGCCACAGCCAGUACGGUAUCUCUGCCUUUGCCCAUGUCCUGCCUUCUUUCUCCCUGGUCGGUAUCUCCUCACCUCAACCAGCUUGGCCAGCUCCUUGGUCAUUGGGGUUGCACCCACCCAGGCAUGUGCCUGGCUCCGCACAACCUCAGAAGCUCUCAGUACAGUGCAGGACCAGAGGUUGAAACCAAUGAAAGGUUGUUAAAUAAAGAGAAAAUGUUUAAUGCUGAGAACAAAGACUAGGAAAGAGAUGUCUAAUAAGAAAUUUUACAGUGAAAUAC
This 575-nucleotide long non-coding RNA is filed under the name Homo sapiens (human). RNAcentral describes it as "non-protein coding LINC00544:3". The record is from RNAcentral. Lineage: Eukaryota; Metazoa; Chordata; Mammalia; Primates; Hominidae.